This 225-nucleotide long non-coding RNA is filed under the name Coffea arabica (coffee). Its description in RNAcentral is "long non-coding RNA (CARA_LNC003708)". The record is from RNAcentral. Lineage: Eukaryota; Viridiplantae; Streptophyta; Magnoliopsida; Gentianales; Rubiaceae.
ACCUUACUUGUCUAGUUCAAUUCGGUGGAAGGAAAUAUUGCUUUAGCAGUAACUAUUAUGAUUAGGUGAUUGCUUAGCAAGCUGAUUUGUAGAGCCUACAAAUAAAGUCUUACACAAAUUCUUACAAUCUUGUUGGUUUCUCUUUUUAAAUCCCACCCUUUCCCUACUAAAAAAAAAGUAUAGAUGAAAUCAUGUAAAUCUGUGGUCAAGAGUUAAAGCACAGGA